UACAGGGGGGGCAAGCGUUAUUCAAAUUUACUGGGCGUAAAGGGUGCGUAGGCUAUAAAUUAGAUUAUAUAUGAAAUGCCAAAACUUAAUUUUGGAACAGUAUAUAAAAUCGAUUUAUUUGAGUUAGAUAGGGGUUGGUAGAAUUCUUACAGUAAAGGUAAUAUUUUUCGAUAAUAGGAGGAAUACCUGAAGCGAAGGCGACUAUCUGGAUCUAAACUGACGUUGAGGCACGAAAGCAUGGGGAGCAAACAGG
RNAcentral lists this ribosomal RNA (253 nucleotides) under uncultured bacterium. Its description in RNAcentral is "partial 16S ribosomal RNA". It matches the Rfam family "Bacterial small subunit ribosomal RNA", at positions 524 to 776 of the family's 1533-position model. The record is from RNAcentral.